RNAcentral lists this ribosomal RNA (396 nucleotides) under uncultured bacterium. RNAcentral describes it as "bacterial SSU rRNA". It matches the Rfam family "Bacterial small subunit ribosomal RNA", at positions 362 to 774 of the family's 1533-position model. The record is from RNAcentral.
UUUUGCCCAAUGAGCGAAAGCUUGAGGCAGCAACUCCGCGUGAGGGACGAAGGCCUUCGGGUUGUAAACCUCUUUUCUCAGGGAAGAUACAAGACGGUACCUGAGGAAUAAGCCACGGCUAACUACGUGCCAGCAGCCGCGGUAAUACGUAGGUGGCAAGCGUUGUCCGGAUUUACUGGGCGUAAAGAGCGCGCAGGCGGCUGGGUCAGUCCGAUGUGAAAUCUUCCGGCUUAACUGGAAAACUGCAUCGGAAACUGCUCAGCUUGAAGAUGGGAGAGGGUAGCGGAAUUCCCGGUGUAGUGGUGAAAUGCGUAGAUAUCGGGAGGAACACCAGUGGCGAAGGCGGCUACCUGGCCCAUUCUUGACGCUGAGGCGCGAAAGCUAGGGGAGCAAACG